Molecule: long non-coding RNA, 398 nt
Organism: Sardina pilchardus (European sardine)
Lineage: Eukaryota; Metazoa; Chordata; Actinopteri; Clupeiformes; Clupeidae
Exons: 5
Source: RefSeq, a predicted model, not a curated record
AUUGCACAUCAUUUUAAAGAGUCUCUCUCUCUCUCUCUCUCUCUCUCUCUCUCUCUCUCUCUCAUGUAGGAUUUUUUCUGGAAAAAACAGAGAAAAGGAUGACCAGGACAUGUCUGCCACAAGUAAUGAUGUUUCUAGCCAUGUCUAUGAAAACUGCGUAGGAAGUCUGGGCUUAACAAAUUUACCUACAAACAAGACGACAAAUGCAGGCUCUGCUGCUCCAGGUGAUCGUGUUUAUGACACACAUAUCUCUAGCAAAUCUCAUCCAGGUGACUCAGAGCAUGUGUAUCUAAACUGAUCUACCACAUAAUAGUACAUAAUAUGAUAUGACUGUUGCAUAGAGUAGCUGCCUACUACUGUACUGUGCUGUACUGUAUGUGUAGAAAAUAAAGCAUGCU